AAUGAACGCUGGCGGCAUGCCUAAUACAUGCAAGUCGAACGAACGCACGAUAAGAUUUUUCUCUUACCGUUAGCGACGGACGGACGAGUAACACAUGGAUAACCUACCACUUAUACUUGGAUGAUAUCGGGAAACCGCAUCCACUACUAGCUAAUAUAAUCAACGGCAGGGUUCAGUAGUGAAAGACGGUUUUCCUGUCACUUAGAGACGAAUUCGUGUCGCAUUAGCUAGGUGGUAAGGUAACGGCUUACCAAGGCAACGAUGCGUAGCUGACCUGAGAGGAUGAUCGGCCACACUGGAACUGAGACACGGUCCAGACUCCUACGGGAGGCAGCAGUAGGGAAUAUUGCACAAUGGGCGAAAGCCUGAUGUAGCAAUGCCGCGUGGGUGAAGAAGGUCUUCGGGUCGUAAAACCCUGUUAUUGGGGAAGAAAAAAAGCAUAUGUAUCUACGGACGUCUUGACGGUACCUAAAGAGUAAGCCACGGCUAACUACGUG
RNAcentral lists this ribosomal RNA (497 nucleotides) under uncultured bacterium. RNAcentral's name for it is "partial 16S ribosomal RNA". It matches the Rfam family "Bacterial small subunit ribosomal RNA", at positions 29 to 507 of the family's 1533-position model. The record is from RNAcentral.